AAACCUCUUUCAGGAGGGACGAAGCCACUCGGGUUAAUAGCCUAGAGGGUGACGGUACCUCCAGAAGAAGCCCCGGCUAACUACGUGCCAGCAGCCGCGGUAAUACGUAGGGGGCAAGCGUUGUCCGGAUUUAUUGGGCGUAAAGAGCGUGUAGGCGGCCUUACAGGUCAGCUGUGAAAACUCGAGGCUCAACCUCGAGACGUCGGUUGAAACCGUAAGGCUAGAGUCCGGAAGAGGAGAGUGGAAUUCCCGGUGUAGCGGUGAAAUGCGCAGAUAUCGGGAAGAACACCCGUGGCGAAGGCGGCUCUCUGGGACGGUACUGACGCUGAGACGCGAAAGCGUGGGGAGCGAACAGGAUUAGAUACCCUGGUAGUCCACGCCGUAAACGAUGGGCACUAGGUGUGGCGGGUAUCGACUCCCGCUGUGCCGAAGCUAACGCAUUAAGUGCCCCGCCUGGGGAGUACGGCCGCAAGGCUAAAACUCAAAUGAAUUGACGG
RNAcentral lists this ribosomal RNA (497 nucleotides) under uncultured bacterium. RNAcentral's name for it is "bacterial SSU rRNA". It matches the Rfam family "Bacterial small subunit ribosomal RNA", at positions 427 to 916 of the family's 1533-position model. The record is from RNAcentral.